GGGUGAGUAAUGUCUGGGAAACUGCCUGAUGGAGGGGGAUAACUACUGGAAACGGUAGCUAAUACCGCAUAACGUCGCAAGACCAAAGAGGGGGACCUUCGGGCCUCUUGCCAUCAGAUGUGCCCAGAUGGGAUUAGCUAGUAGGUGGGGUAACGGCUCACCUAGGCGACGAUCCCUAGCUGGUCUGAGAGGAUGACCAGCCACACUGGAACUGAGACACGGUCCAGACUCCUACGGGAGGCAGCAGUGGGGAAUAUUGCACAAUGGGCGCAAGCCUGAUGCAGCCAUGCCGCGUGUAUGAAGAAGGCCUUCGGGUUGUAAAGUACUUUCAGCGGGGAGGAAGGCGAUGCGGUUAAUAACCGCGUCGAUUGACGUUACCCGCAGAAGAAGCACCGGCUAACUCCGUGCCAGCAGCCGCGGUAAUACGGAGGGUGCAAGCGUUAAUCGGAAUUACUGGGCGUAAAGCGCACGCAGGCGGUCUGUCAAGUCGGAUGUGAAAUCCCCGGGCUCAACCUGGGAACUGCAUCCGAAACUGGCAGGCUUGAGUCUCGUAGAGGGGGGUAGAAUUCCAGGUGUAGCGGUGAAAUGCGUAGAGAUCUGGAGGAAUACCG
This 611-nucleotide ribosomal RNA is filed under the name Kosakonia sp. Its description in RNAcentral is "bacterial SSU rRNA". It matches the Rfam family "Bacterial small subunit ribosomal RNA", at positions 104 to 711 of the family's 1533-position model. The record is from RNAcentral. Lineage: Bacteria; Pseudomonadati; Pseudomonadota; Gammaproteobacteria; Enterobacterales; Enterobacteriaceae.